GAUGAACGCUGGCGGCGUGCUUAACACAUGCAAGUCGAACGGAGCCUAUCGAGUGCUUGCACUUGAGAAAGCUUAGUGGCGGACGGGUGAGUAACGCGUGGGUAACCUGCCCUGUACCGGGGGAUAACAGUCGGAAACGACUGCUAAUACCGCAUAAGCCCACAUGACCGCAUGGUCAAGGGGGAAAAACUCCGGUGGUACAGGAUGGACCCGCGUCUGAUUAGCUAGUUGGUGAGGUAACGGCCCACCAAGGCGAUGAUCUCUAGCUGGUUUGAGAGGACAAUCAGCCACAUUGGAAUUGAGAAACGGACCAAACUCC
This 319-nucleotide ribosomal RNA is filed under the name uncultured Coprococcus sp. Its description in RNAcentral is "bacterial SSU rRNA". It matches the Rfam family "Bacterial small subunit ribosomal RNA", at positions 28 to 339 of the family's 1533-position model. The record is from RNAcentral. Lineage: Bacteria; Bacillati; Bacillota; Clostridia; Lachnospirales; Lachnospiraceae.